UUGUCAGCUCCAGAGAAUGAAGUCCUCUGUUUAGUUAGAGAACAGGUACAGUAUAGGCAGGAAAAAUGCAAAGUUUCUGCAAGGUCCACCUCUAGCAAUGAAGCAAAAGUUCAGUCUCCCUGGCUAUGCAAUAUAUUGUCCCC
RNAcentral lists this small RNA (143 nucleotides) under Chrysemys picta bellii (western painted turtle). RNAcentral describes it as "TUC338 (ENSCPBG00000012032.1)". Lineage: Eukaryota; Metazoa; Chordata; Testudines; Emydidae. The record is from RNAcentral.